This 717-nucleotide ribosomal RNA is filed under the name bacterium MS-AsV-22. RNAcentral's name for it is "bacterial SSU rRNA". It matches the Rfam family "Bacterial small subunit ribosomal RNA", at positions 119 to 836 of the family's 1533-position model. The record is from RNAcentral.
CGGAAUCUACCUUUUCGUGGGGGAUAACGUAGGGAAACUUACGCUAAUACCGCAUACGACCUACGGGUGAAAGUGGGGGACCGCAAGGCCUCACGCGAUUAGAUGAGCCGAUGUCCGAUUAGCUAGUUGGCGGGGUAAUGGCCCACCAAGGCGACGAUCGGUAGCUGGUCUGAGAGGAUGAUCAGCCACACUGGAACUGAGACACGGUCCAGACUCCUACGGGAGGCAGCAGUGGGGAAUAUUGGACAAUGGGCGCAAGCCUGAUCCAGCCAUACCGCGUGGUGAAGAAGGCCUUCGGUUGUAAAGCCCCUUUGUUGGGAAAGAAAUCCUGUCGAUUAAUACUCGUGGGGAUGACGGUACCCAAAGAAUAAGCACCGGCUAACUUCGUGCCAGCAGCCGCGGUAAUACGAAGGGUGCAAGCCGUUACUCGGAAUUACUGGGCGUAAAGCGUGCGUAGGUGGUGGUUUAAGUCUGCUGUGAAAGCCUGGGCUCAACCUGGGAAUUGCAGUGGAUACUGGAUCACUAGAGUGUGGUAGAGGGAUGCGGAAUUUCUGGUGUAGCAGUGAAAUGCGUAGAGAUCAGAAGGAACAUCCGUGGCGAAGGCGGCAUCCUGGGCCAACACUGACACUGAGGCACGAAAGCGUGGGGAGCAAACAGGAUUAGAUACCUGGUAGUCCACGCCCUAAACGAUGCGAACUGGAUGUUGGGUGCAACUUG